This 430-nucleotide ribosomal RNA is filed under the name uncultured bacterium. RNAcentral describes it as "partial 16S ribosomal RNA". It matches the Rfam family "Bacterial small subunit ribosomal RNA", at positions 354 to 796 of the family's 1533-position model. The record is from RNAcentral.
GUGGGGAAUAUUGCACAAUGGGCGCAAGCCUGAUGCAGCGACGCCGCGUGGGGGAUGAAGGCCUUCGGGUUGUAAACCCCUUUCAGCAGGGAAGAAGCGAAAGUGACGGUACCUGCAGAAGAAGCGCCGGCUAACUACGUGCCAGCAGCCGCGGUAAUACGUAGGGCGCAAGCGUUGUCCGGAAUUAUUGGGCGUAAAGAGCUCGUAGGCGGUUUGUCGCGUCUACUGUGAAAACCCGAGGCUCAACCUCGGGCCUGCAGUGGGUACGGGCAGACUAGAGUGCGGUAGGGGAGAUUGGAAUUCCUGGUGUAGCGGUGGAAUGCGCAGAUAUCAGGAGGAACACCGAUGGCGAAGGCAGAUCUCUGGGCCGUAACUGACGCUGAGGAGCGAAAGCGUGGGGAGCGAACAGGAUUAGAAACCCUAGUAGUCC